This 1000-nucleotide ribosomal RNA is filed under the name Candidatus Fermentibacter danicus. RNAcentral's name for it is "bacterial SSU rRNA". It matches the Rfam family "Bacterial small subunit ribosomal RNA", at positions 1 to 975 of the family's 1533-position model. Lineage: Bacteria; Pseudomonadati; Candidatus Fermentibacterota; Candidatus Fermentibacteria; Candidatus Fermentibacterales; Candidatus Fermentibacteraceae. The record is from RNAcentral.
CGGAGAGUUUGAUCCUGGCUCAGGACGAACGCUGGCGGCGUGGAUAAGGCAUGCAAGUCGAACGGGAUGGGGAUUCAAGCAAUUGUGUCCCUUGAGAGUGGCGAACGGGUGAGUAACACGUGGGUAACAUACCUCCGGGUGGGGGAUAACUCAGGGAAACCUGGGCUAAUACCGCAUACGGUCAGACUGCCCAUGGCAGAUUGAUCAAAGGUGGGGACCUUCGGGCCUGCCGCCUGGAGAUUGGCCCGCGUCCCAUUAGCUUGUUGGCGGGGUAAAGGCCCACCAAGGCGACGAUGGGUAGCCGGCCUGAGAGGGUGUCCGGCCACACUGGGAUUGAGAUACGGCCCAGACUCCUUCGGGAGGCAGCAGUCGAGAAUCUUCCCCAAUGGGCGAAAGCCUGAGGGAGCGACGCCGCGUGAGGGAUGAAGGCCCUUUGGGUUGUAAACCUCUGUUAGGGGGAAAGAAAAGCAGUGGAAGCAAUAUGUCCAUUGCCUGACGUUACCCCCAGAGAAAGCUCCGGCCAACUCCGUGCCAGCAGCCGCGGUAAUACGGGGGGAGCAAGCGUUGUCCGGAAUCAUUGGGCGUAAAGGGCGUGUAGGCGGCUUGGCAAGUCGAAUGUGAAAUCCCACGGCUCAACCGUGGAACUGCGUUCGAAACUGCCUUGCUUGAGUGCGGGAGAGGUGUGCGGAAUUCCUGGUGUAGCGGUGGAAUGCGUAGAUAUCAGGAAGAACACCGGUGGCGAAGGCGGCACACUGGCCCAGCACUGACGCUGAGGCGCGAAAGCGUGGGGAGCGAACGGGAUUAGAUACCCCGGUAGUCCACGCUGUAAACUUUGGGCACUAGGUAUUGGAGGUCUCAACCCCUUCAGUGCCGUAGCUAACGCGUUAAGUGCCCCGCCUGGGGAGUACGGUCGCAAGGCUGAAACUCAAAGGAAUUGACGGGGGCCCGCACAAGCGGUGGAGCAUGUGGUUUAAUUCGAUGCAACGCGAAGAACCUUACC